UCUAAGGACCUGGAAUGGCUUUGGGGAGC
This 29-nucleotide non-coding RNA is filed under the name Homo sapiens (human). Lineage: Eukaryota; Metazoa; Chordata; Mammalia; Primates; Hominidae. The record is from RNAcentral.